UACGUAGGCAGCGAGCGUUGUUCGGAUUUACUGGGCGUAAAGGGCGCGUAGGCGGUUCGUCGUGUCCGAUGUGAAAGCCCCGGGCUCAACCUGGGAAUGGCAUUGGAAACUGGCGGACUCGAGUGUGGCAGAGGGGGGUGGAAUUCCGCGUGUAGCAGUGAAAUGCGUAGAGAUGCGGAGGAACACCGAUGGCGAAGGCAGCCCCCUGGGCUAACACUGACGCUCAGGCACGAAAGCGUGGGGAGCAAACAGG
RNAcentral lists this ribosomal RNA (253 nucleotides) under uncultured bacterium. Its description in RNAcentral is "partial 16S ribosomal RNA". It matches the Rfam family "Bacterial small subunit ribosomal RNA", at positions 524 to 776 of the family's 1533-position model. The record is from RNAcentral.